UCGAAAGGAAAUGAAUAACCAUGACUUGCUACCAGUUGUUUCAUUUAAAAAAAAAAAAGAAGUAGAUGGAUUUGUCAGAUCAAAUCUUUUGGUUCUAAAGUCUGGUGGCCUGCUUCAUUCUUUAUAUUUCAUAGCAUUUAAACUGAACAAAACCAAAACAAUCCUGCUGUAAAUUAAUAUAUAUAUAUAUAUAUAUAUAUAUAUAUAUAUAUAAGAAUAAGGAAAUGUUCAUAGCCACCAUCCUCAAAAACAAAAUUAAUUUACAUUAUCAUCCUCAAAAACAAAAUUAAUUUACAUUAUCAUCCAGGAAAUAUAUAUGGAGAGAGUGAGGAAGAUGACAAAGAACAAGUGGCUGAUGAUCUUCUGGACUUGUGACCUCUCAUUUCCACUCUUCCCAUGUGAAUUCUUCUUCCUC
This 415-nucleotide long non-coding RNA is filed under the name Malus domestica (apple). RNAcentral's name for it is "long non-coding RNA (MDOM_LNC001214)". Lineage: Eukaryota; Viridiplantae; Streptophyta; Magnoliopsida; Rosales; Rosaceae. The record is from RNAcentral.